UUAUAAUUGCUAUUCAUACCAAAGAAAGUAACGGAGUUUACUCUUAAUAAUGUUGCCGAGGAAUGAAAUAUAUAACUUUGAUUUAAAGUUAUAUUUUACCUUGGUUUUCCAAGGUUUUUAUUUGGUUAA
Spiroplasma litorale is the source of this 129-nucleotide non-coding RNA. NCBI's taxonomy places the organism in Bacteria, Bacillati, Mycoplasmatota, Mollicutes, Entomoplasmatales, Spiroplasmataceae. The record is from Rfam.